GUCGGCCGCAGGAACCGCAGGAAGUUCAAGUUCCGAAGGCAACUUCAACCCCGUAUGAGGUAGUUUCAGAUGGUGUUACGUUGAGCGAUUCGUUUGCUUCAUCAAGUUCUCCCUUUUUAAUACUUUUUUUCAGGUGCUUGGUGUGAGCCCCAUUGCAGGAUUUGAGGUGGUCAAUGAGGCAUAUGCAAGAAAACGCAAGGAUGCACAGGAGAGAAGGGAUGAAGCAACUGCUGCCCAAUUAGAAGAGGCGCAUGACAAAUUGUUGAUGGCAGAAUUGGAAAACUGAAAGAAGGGUGUGACAUCUGGUUCCUUUGAGGUUUCUAAGUAUAUCAAGUAUGCCGAUAAGUAGCCAAUAGUACC
This is a long non-coding RNA of Rhododendron vialii, 360 nucleotides long. RefSeq lists it as uncharacterized. NCBI's taxonomy places the organism in Eukaryota, Viridiplantae, Streptophyta, Magnoliopsida, Ericales, Ericaceae. The transcript is spliced from 3 exons. The record is from RefSeq and is a predicted model, not a curated record.